AUUGAACGCUGGCGGCAGGCCUAACACAUGCAAGUCGAGCGGAUGAAGGGAGCUUGCUCCUGGAUUCAGCGGCGGACGGGUGAGUAAUGCCUAGGAAUCUGCCUGGUAGUGGGGGAUAACGUCCGGAAACGGGCGCUAAUACCGCAUACGUCCUGAGGGAGAAAGUGGGGGAUCUUCGGACCUCACGCUAUCAGAUGAGCCUAGGUCGGAUUAGCUAGUUGGUGGGGUAAAGGCCUACCAAGGCGACGAUCCGUAACUGGUCUGAGAGGAUGAUCAGUCACACUGGAACUGAGACACGGUCCAGACUCCUACGGGAGGCAGCAGUGGGGAAUAUUGGACUAUGGGCGAAAGCCUGAUCCAGCCAUGCCGCGUGUGUGAAGAAGGUCUUCGGAUUGUAAAGCACUUUAAGUUGGGAGGAAAGGCAGUAAGUUAAUACCUUGCUGUUUUGACGUUACCAACAGAAUAAGCACCGGCUAACUUCGUG
RNAcentral lists this ribosomal RNA (484 nucleotides) under uncultured bacterium. Its description in RNAcentral is "partial 16S ribosomal RNA". It matches the Rfam family "Bacterial small subunit ribosomal RNA", at positions 30 to 507 of the family's 1533-position model. The record is from RNAcentral.